CCGAGUUGGGGCGGCUUACACAUGCAGUCGAGCGGAACGAUACCAGCUUGCUGGUAGGCGUCGAGCGGCGGACGGGUGAGUAAUACUUAGGAAUCUACCUAGUAGUGGGGGAUAGCUCGGGGAAACUCGAAUUAAUACCGCAUACGACCUACGGGAGAAGGGGGCAGUUUACUGCUCUCGCUAUUAGAUGAGCCUAAGUCGGAUUAGCUAGAUGGGGGGGUAAAGGCCUACCAUGGCGACGAUCUGUAGCUGGUCUGAAAGGAUGAUCAGCCACACCGGGACUGAAACACGGCCCGGACUCCUACGGGAGGCAGCAGUGGGGAAUAUUGGACAAUGGGGGAAACCCUGAUCCAGCCAUGCCGCGUGUGUGAAGAAGGCCUUUUGGUUGUAAAGCACUUUAAGCAGUGAAGAAGACUCCUCGGUUAAUACCCGUGGACGAUGACAUUAGCUGCAGAAUAAGCACCGGCUAACUCUGUGCCAGCAGCCGCGGUAAUACAGAGGGUGCAAGCGUUAAUCGGAAUUACUGGGCGUAAAGCGAGCGUAGGUGGCUUGAUAAGUCAGAUGUGAAAUCCCCGGGCUUAACCUGGGAACUGCAUCUGAAACUGUUAGGCUAGAGUAGGUGAGAGGAAGGUAGAAUUCCAGGUGUAGCGGUGAAAUGCGUAGAGAUCUGGAGGAAUACCGAUGGCGAAGGCAGCCUUCUGGCAUCAUACUGACACUGAGGCUCGAAAGCGUGGGUAGCAAACAGGAUUAGAUACCCUGGUAGUCCACGCCGUAAACGAUGUCUACUAGUCGUUGGGUCCCUUGAGGACUUAGUGACGCAGCUAACGCAAUAAGUAGACCGCCUGGGGAGUACGGCCGCAAGGUUAAAACUCAAAUGAAUUGACGGGGGCCCGCACAAGCGUGGAGCAUGUGGUUUAUUCGAUGCACGCGAGACUUACCUGGUCUGACAUAUCUAGAUCCUGCAGAGAUGCGGGAGGUGCCUUCGGGAAUUAGAAUAACAGGUGCUGCAUGGCUG
Molecule: ribosomal RNA, 1015 nt
Filed under: uncultured bacterium
Lineage: Bacteria
Description: bacterial SSU rRNA
Rfam family: Bacterial small subunit ribosomal RNA
Source: RNAcentral